GUUUGAUGCAUUAUGAGCAUGUAUAAUCUGAAGACAUGCUGCUGAAGUAUUCAAACACACAUUCCCACCAAGCCGCCACAUUUCGACUGUAUUUCUGUUCUCUGCUGGCUAAAA
Long non-coding RNA from Thalassophryne amazonica, 114 nucleotides. RefSeq lists it as uncharacterized. The record is from RefSeq and is a predicted model, not a curated record. The transcript has 3 exons. NCBI's taxonomy places the organism in Eukaryota, Metazoa, Chordata, Actinopteri, Batrachoidiformes, Batrachoididae.